RNAcentral lists this ribosomal RNA (486 nucleotides) under uncultured bacterium. RNAcentral describes it as "partial 16S ribosomal RNA". It matches the Rfam family "Bacterial small subunit ribosomal RNA", at positions 30 to 507 of the family's 1533-position model. The record is from RNAcentral.
AUUGAACGCUGGCGGCAUGCCUUACACAUGCAAGUCGAACGGCAGCACGGGUGCUUGCACCUGGUGGCGAGUGGCGAACGGGUGAGUAAUACAUCGGAACAUGUCCUGUAGUGGGGGAUAGCCCGGCGAAAGCCGGAUUAAUACCGCAUACGAUCUACGGAUGAAAGCGGGGGACCUUCGGGCCUCGCGCUAUAGGGUUGGCCGAUGGCUGAUUAGCUAGUUGGUGGGGUAAAGGCCUACCAAGGCGACGAUCAGUAGCUGGUCUGAGAGGACGACCAGCCACACUGGGACUGAGACACGGACCAGACGCCUACGGGAGGCAGCAGUGGGGAAUUUUGGACAAAGGGCGAAAGCCUGAUCCAGCAAUGCCGCGUGUGUGAAGAAGGCCUUCGGGUUGUAAAGCACUUUUGUCCGGAAAGAAAUCCUUGGCCCUAAUACGGUCGGGGGAUGACGGUACCGGAAGAAUAAGCACCGGCUAACUACGUG